This 274-nucleotide ribosomal RNA is filed under the name uncultured bacterium. RNAcentral's name for it is "partial 16S ribosomal RNA". It matches the Rfam family "Bacterial small subunit ribosomal RNA", at positions 523 to 796 of the family's 1533-position model. The record is from RNAcentral.
AUACGGAGGGAGCAAGCGUUAUUCGGAAUCACUGGGCGUAAAGGACGCGUAGGCGGGUUUGUAAGUCCGGUGUGAAAUCCUACAGCUCAACUGUAGAACUGCACUUGAAACUACAGACCUAGAGUAUGGAAGGGGCAGAUGGAAUUAGUGGUGUAGGGGUAAAAUCCGUAGAUAUCACUAGGAAUACCGAAAGCGAAGGCGAUCUGCUGGGACAUUACUGACGCUGAGGCGUGAAAGCGUGGGGAGCAAACAGGAUUAGAUACCCCGGUAGUCC